RNAcentral lists this ribosomal RNA (493 nucleotides) under uncultured bacterium. RNAcentral's name for it is "partial 16S ribosomal RNA". It matches the Rfam family "Bacterial small subunit ribosomal RNA", at positions 29 to 523 of the family's 1533-position model. The record is from RNAcentral.
AUUGAACGCUGGCGGCAUGCUUUACACAUGCAAGUCGAACGGUAACAGGUUAAGCUGACGAGUGGCGAACGGGUGAGUAAUGCAUCGGAACGUGCCCGGUCGUGGGGGAUAACGCAGCGAAAGCCGCGCUCAUACCGCAUACGAGAUGAGGAUGAAAGCGGGGGCCCGGAAGGCCGCGCGCGGUCGGAGCGGCCGAUGUCAGAUUAGGUAGUUGGUGGGGUAAAGGCUCACCAAGCCAACGAUCUGUAGCUGGUCUGAGAGGACGACCAGCCACACUGGGACUGAGACACGGCCCAGACACCUACGGGAGGCAGCAGUGGGGAAUUUUGGACAAUGGGCGAAAGCCUGAUCCAGCAAUGCCGCGUGCAGGAAGAAGGCCUUCGGGUUGUAAACUGCUUUUGUACGGAGCGAAAAGGUCUCCUCUAAUACAGGGGGCUCAUGACGGUACCGUAAGAAUAAGCACCGGCUAACUACGUGCCAGCCGCCGCUGUAA